This 213-nucleotide non-coding RNA is filed under the name Clostridia bacterium. RNAcentral's name for it is "6S RNA". It matches the Rfam family "6S / SsrS RNA". Rfam says of the family: E. coli 6S RNA was the first non coding RNA to be sequenced, but its function was unknown until recently. It consists of 184 nucleotides that fold into an extended hairpin structure with a large single-stranded internal bulge. The 6S RNA specifically associates with RNA polymerase holoenzyme containing the sigma70 specificity factor. The record is from RNAcentral. Lineage: Bacteria; Bacillati; Bacillota; Clostridia.
UUAUUCCUGAAAUGCUCGAGAAAACCUAUUAUUUUGAACCUACAUUUGAUAUAAGGGAGUCUGGAGUUUGGAAGCGGGUGUCAGGCCACAAGCUAAUUCCGACAUUCGAGCUUAAACGAAUGCAACGGCGGUGGAAGGCAGAAACUUUCAGCAGGGCACCCACCUAGCGUAGGCUAGGUGUCAAAAUAUAGGAAACGGCAUUUCGGGUAUUAA